Molecule: small nuclear RNA, 107 nt
Filed under: Mus caroli (Ryukyu mouse)
Lineage: Eukaryota; Metazoa; Chordata; Mammalia; Rodentia; Muridae
Source: RNAcentral
GUGCUCACUUCAGCAGCACAUAUACUAAAAUGGAAAGGAUUCAGAAAAGAUUAGCAUGGCCCCUGCACAAGGAUGACAUGCAAAUUCGUGAAGCAUUCCAUAUUAAA